UACGGAGGAUCCGAGCGUUAUCCGGAUUCAUUGGGUUUAAAGGGUGCGUAGGUUGUUUUAUAAGUUAGCGGUGAAAUACCGAUGCUCAACAUCGGGGCUGCCGCUGAUACUGUAGGACUAGAGAUCGGAUGCAGCAGGCGGAAUGUGUAGUGUAGCGGUGAAAUGCAUAGAUAUUACACAGAACACCGAUUGCGAAGGCAGCUUGCUAGGCCGGAUCUGACACUGAUGCUCGAAAGCAUGGGUAGCGAACAGG
Molecule: ribosomal RNA, 253 nt
Filed under: uncultured bacterium
Lineage: Bacteria
Description: partial 16S ribosomal RNA
Rfam family: Bacterial small subunit ribosomal RNA
Source: RNAcentral